AUGGAGUUUGAUGCUCAUUAUGGUUAUGUGAAAAGGAUCGAUGGUAUGUUUUUUUUGACAAAAGGAUGACGUGCUCUUCGUGAUUUCUAUAACAUUGAUCUCGGUGCUUGGGUGAUCAUAAUGUUCUAUAGUUUUGGAAAAUUUGGCAUCAACAUCAAAGAUAUGUUUGGACAAUCUUAGUAUGAAGCAGAAGAUAGAGGGUGUGAUUUCGUCGCUCAACACAAUUAUGUCAUACUAAGAUAUGAAUAAUUCAAUGGAAUGUAUUUGCCGUCAUAUAAGUUACUGAUGUGUUGAAGGUAAAUGGGCAACUGUCAUGGU
This 318-nucleotide long non-coding RNA is filed under the name Medicago truncatula (barrel medic). RNAcentral's name for it is "lncRNA gene14612". The record is from RNAcentral. Lineage: Eukaryota; Viridiplantae; Streptophyta; Magnoliopsida; Fabales; Fabaceae.